AGCAGUAGCCACGGUAAUACGUAGGUGGCAAGCGUUGUCCGGAAUUAUAGGGCGUAAAGGGCUCGCAGGCGGACUGAUAAGUCAGGGGUGAAAUCCCAAGGCUCAACCUUGGAACUGCCUUUGAUACUGUUAGUCUUGAGUUCGAGAGAGGUGAGUGGAACUGCGAGUGUAGAGGUGAAAUUCGUAGAUAUUCGCAAGAACACCAGUGGCGAAGGCGGCUCACUGGCUCGAAACUGACGCUGAGGCACGAAAGCGUGGGGAGCAAACAGGAUUAGAUACCCGUGUAGUCCCUGUCUCUUAUAU
RNAcentral lists this ribosomal RNA (303 nucleotides) under uncultured bacterium. RNAcentral describes it as "partial 16S ribosomal RNA". It matches the Rfam family "Bacterial small subunit ribosomal RNA", at positions 507 to 809 of the family's 1533-position model. The record is from RNAcentral.